CAGCCAUAUAACGUAGAAACACUAGUUCUCAUCCAAUCACUAAAGUUAAGCAAUGUUGAGCCUGGUCAGUACCUAGGUGAGUAAACACACAGGAAUAUCAGGUGCUGUAA
Non-coding RNA from Acanthosepion pharaonis, 110 nucleotides. The record is from the annotation of a GenBank genome assembly. NCBI's taxonomy places the organism in Eukaryota, Metazoa, Mollusca, Cephalopoda, Sepiida, Sepiidae.